This 2905-nucleotide ribosomal RNA is filed under the name Salmonella enterica. Its description in RNAcentral is "bacterial LSU rRNA". It matches the Rfam family "Bacterial large subunit ribosomal RNA". The record is from RNAcentral. Lineage: Bacteria; Pseudomonadati; Pseudomonadota; Gammaproteobacteria; Enterobacterales; Enterobacteriaceae.
UUAAGCGACUAAGCGUACACGGUGGAUGCCCUGGCAGUCAGAGGCGAUGAAGGGCGUGCUAAUCUGCGAUAAGCGCCGGUAAGGUGAUAUGAACCGUUAUAACCGGCGAUACCCGAAUGGGGAAACCCAGUGUGAUUCGUCACACUAUCAUUAACUGAAUCCAUAGGUUAAUGAGGCGAACCGGGGGAACUGAAACAUCUAAGUACCCCGAGGAAAAGAAAUCAACCGAGAUUCCCCCAGUAGCGGCGAGCGAACGGGGAGGAGCCCAGAGCCUGAAUCAGCAUGUGUGUUAGUGGAAGCGUCUGGAAAGGCGCGCGAUACAGGGUGACAGCCCCGUACACAAAAGCGCAUGUGCUGUGAGCUCGAUGAGUAGGGCGGGACACGUGGUAUCCUGUCUGAAUAUGGGGGGACCAUCCUCCAAGGCUAAAUACUCCUGACUGACCGAUAGUGAACCAGUACCGUGAGGGAAAGGCGAAAAGAACCCCGGCGAGGGGAGUGAAAAAGAACCUGAAACCGUGUACGUACAAGCAGUGGGAGCACAGGUUUACCUGUGUGACUGCGUACCUUUUGUAUAAUGGGUCAGCGACUUAUAUUCUGUAGCAAGGUUAACCGUAUAGGGGAGCCGUAGGGAAACCGAGUCUUAACCGGGCGUUAAGUUGCAGGGUAUAGACCCGAAACCCGGUGAUCUAGCCAUGGGCAGGUUGAAGGUUGGGUAACACUAACUGGAGGACCGAACCGACUAAUGUUGAAAAAUUAGCGGAUGACCUGUGGCUGGGGGUGAAAGGCCAAUCAAACCGGGAGAUAGCUGGUUCUCCCCGAAAGCUAUUUAGGUAGCGCCUCGUGAAUUCAUCUCCGGGGGUAGAGCACUGUUUCGGCUAGGGGGCCAUCCCGGCUUACCAACCCGAUGCAAACUGCGAAUACCGGAGAAUGUUAUCACGGGAGACACACGGCGGGUGCUAACGUCCGUCGUGAAGAGGGAAACAACCCAGACCGCCAGCUAAGGUCCCAAAGUCAUGGUUAAGUGGGAAACGAUGUGGGAAGGCCCAGACAGCCAGGAUGUUGGCUUAGAAGCAGCCAUCAUUUAAAGAAAGCGUAAUAGCUCACUGGUCGAGUCGGCCUGCGCGGAAGAUGUAACGGGGCUAAACCAUGCACCGAAGCUGCGGCAGCGACACUGUGUGUUGUUGGGUAGGGGAGCGUUCUGUAAGCCUGUGAAGGUGGCCUGUGAGGGUUGCUGGAGGUAUCAGAAGUGCGAAUGCUGACAUAAGUAACGAUAAAGCGGGUGAAAAGCCCGCUCGCCGGAAGACCAAGGGUUCCUGUCCAACGUUAAUCGGGGCAGGGUGAGUCGACCCCUAAGGCGAGGCCGAAAGGCGUAGUCGAUGGGAAACGGGUUAAUAUUCCCGUACUUGGUGUUACUGCGAAGGGGGGACGGAGAAGGCUAUGUUGGCCGGGCGACGGUUGUCCCGGUUUAAGCGUGUAGGUGUGUGUUCCAGGUAAAUCCGGUUCACUUUAACACUGAGGCGUGAUGACGAGGCACUACGGUGCUGAAGCAACAAAUGCCCUGCUUCCAGGAAAAGCCUCUAAGCAUCAGGUAACAUCAAAUCGUACCCCAAACCGACACAGGUGGUCAGGUAGAGAAUACCAAGGCGCUUGAGAGAACUCGGGUGAAGGAACUAGGCAAAAUGGUGCCGUAACUUCGGGAGAAGGCACGCUGACACGUAGGUGAAGUGAUUUACUCAUGGAGCUGAAGUCAGUCGAAGAUACCAGCUGGCUGCAACUGUUUAUUAAAAACACAGCACUGUGCAAACACGAAAGUGGACGUAUACGGUGUGACGCCUGCCCGGUGCCGGAAGGUUAAUUGAUGGGGUCAGCGCAAGCGAAGCUCCUGAUCGAAGCCCCGGUAAACGGCGGCCGUAACUAUAACGGUCCUAAGGUAGCGAAAUUCCUUGUCGGGUAAGUUCCGACCUGCACGAAUGGCGUAAUGAUGGCCAGGCUGUCUCCACCCGAGACUCAGUGAAAUUGAACUCGCUGUGAAGAUGCAGUGUACCCGCGGCAAGACGGAAAGACCCCGUGAACCUUUACUAUAGCUUGACACUGAACAUUGAGCCUUGAUGUGUAGGAUAGGUGGGAGGCUUUGAAGCGUGGACGCCAGUCUGCGUGGAGCCGACCUUGAAAUACCACCCUUUAAUGUUUGAUGUUCUAACGUGGACCCGUAAUCCGGGUUGCGGACAGUGUCUGGUGGGUAGUUUGACUGGGGCGGUCUCCUCCUAAAGAGUAACGGAGGAGCACGAAGGUUGGCUAAUCCUGGUCGGACAUCAGGAGGUUAGUGCAAUGGCAUAAGCCAGCUUGACUGCGAGCGUGACGGCGCGAGCAGGUGCGAAAGCAGGUCAUAGUGAUCCGGUGGUUCUGAAUGGAAGGGCCAUCGCUCAACGGAUAAAAGGUACUCCGGGGAUAACAGGCUGAUACCGCCCAAGAGUUCAUAUCGACGGCGGUGUUUGGCACCUCGAUGUCGGCUCAUCACAUCCUGGGGCUGAAGUAGGUCCCAAGGGUAUGGCUGUUCGCCAUUUAAAGUGGUACGCGAGCUGGGUUUAGAACGUCGUGAGACAGUUCGGUCCCUAUCUGCCGUGGGCGCUGGAGAACUGAGGGGGGCUGCUCCUAGUACGAGAGGACCGGAGUGGACGCAUCACUGGUGUUCGGGUUGUCAUGCCAAUGGCACUGCCCGGUAGCUAAAUGCGGAAGAGAUAAGUGCUGAAAGCAUCUAAGCACGAAACUUGCCCCGAGAUGAGUUCUCCCUGAGACUUAGAGUCUCCUGAAGGAACGUUGAAGACGACGACGUUGAUAGGCCGGGUGUGUAAGCGCAGCGAUGCGUUGAGCUAACCGGUACUAAUGAACCGUGAGGCUUAACCUU